RNAcentral lists this ribosomal RNA (460 nucleotides) under uncultured bacterium. RNAcentral describes it as "partial 16S ribosomal RNA". It matches the Rfam family "Bacterial small subunit ribosomal RNA", at positions 338 to 795 of the family's 1533-position model. The record is from RNAcentral.
CCUACGGGUGGCAGCAGUGAGGAAUAUUGGUCAAUGGACGAGAGUCUGAACCAGCCACGUAGCGUGAAGGAUGACUGCCCUAUGGGUUGUAAACUUCUUUUAUAUGGGAAUAAAAUGUUCCACGUGUGGGAUUUUGUAUGUACCAUAUGAAUAAGGAUCGGCUAACUCCGUGCCAGCAGCCGCGGUAAUACGGAGGAUCCGAGCGUUAUCCGGAUUUAUUGGGUUUAAGGGGAGCGUAGGUGGAUUGUUAAGUCAGUUGUGAAAGUUUGCGGCUCAACCGUAAAAUUGCAGUUGAAACUGGCAGUCUUGAGUACAGUAGAGGUGGGCGGAAUUCGUGGUGUAGCGGUGAAAUGCUUAGAUAUCACGAAGAACUCCGAGUGCGAAGGCAGUUCACUGGACUGCAACUGACACUGAGGCUCGAAAGUGUGGGUAUCAAACAGGAUUAGAUACCCGAGUAGUC